Molecule: long non-coding RNA, 722 nt
Organism: Gasterosteus aculeatus aculeatus (three-spined stickleback)
Lineage: Eukaryota; Metazoa; Chordata; Actinopteri; Perciformes; Gasterosteidae
Source: Ensembl
CACCCACACGCAUGCGCGCACAAACACGCGCCGCGUUAGGUCUGGAAGAGGAGAAUCGAUUAGCCGCAGUGAAGCCUCUCUCCACCCCCUCUCUCCCCCUCUCGCUCUCUCUCCCUCUCCUCUAUCUUCCCUCCCUCCCUCUGGUGGAAACACAAAGGAAGAGACGCGUGUAUCGGCGGGAGGAAGGAGGCAGUCUUUGCGUGUCGUCCCGGUCCCUCGGUGCGGUUGCGGGGAGUUUAAUAUGAGUCUUGGUGGGGUCGCCCUUCCCCUUCCUGCCCGCCCAAUGGCCCGCUUGAUGAAUGGGAGGAGAGAGGGUGGAGGAGAGAGGAAGGAGGGUGGAGGACGCAGAAGCGGAAAUUAGUGGAGGCUUGUUCCCCGUUCUUGGCCCCAUGUUAUGCUCCCCGGCACUGAAGUCGGUACUGAUGCGGCGCCAACUUGGCGCUUCAAAGAAAGCACAAGGGAUACAAACGCAGGCCACAAUCCCGCUUUGUUUAUAAGUAUGUAUUGUCAAAGGAAAGCAACAGAGCUUGGGAGUCUGCAGGAAGUGUUUAAAGUGCUGACGGUGUUUCAGACACGUGACGCCUGGAAGCAAACAGGAAGUCCUUAACCUGCAUAAAAAACAACCUCUUGUAUUGCACCAAUUCACCAGGUCAAACUCCUCUGUGUGUAACAUAUGUGGCAAUAAAUGGCUUCCGAUUCUGAUUCUGAUUAAAAAUAAUCCC